GAUUUCUGGUUUGAUGUACCUGUCCCGCCUCGGUAACGGGGUCGAGUGACGGAGUAUGUCUGCCAUCCUUCUAGAGAAUAUAAACUAUCCUUUACUGGACCGGUUUAUAUCAUCUAGAUCUUUUACUUUGAAAAAAUUAGAGUGUUUCAAGCAGGCGUUUUGCUAUGAAUACAUUAGCAUGGAAUAAUAAUUUAGGACUUUGUUCUUAUUUUGUUGGUUUCUAAGGAUGAAGUAAUGAUUGAUAGGGAUCGUUGGGGGUGCUAGUAUUCAGCGGCCAGAGGUGAAAUUCUUGGAUUCGCUGAAGACUAACUUAUGCGAAAGCAUU
This 325-nucleotide ribosomal RNA is filed under the name Allapsidae sp. RNAcentral's name for it is "SSU rRNA". It matches the Rfam family "Eukaryotic small subunit ribosomal RNA", at positions 634 to 955 of the family's 1831-position model. The record is from RNAcentral. Lineage: Eukaryota; Cercozoa; Glissomonadida; Viridiraptoridae.